Long non-coding RNA from Canis lupus familiaris (dog), 5961 nucleotides. RefSeq lists it as uncharacterized. The transcript has 5 exons. NCBI's taxonomy places the organism in Eukaryota, Metazoa, Chordata, Mammalia, Carnivora, Canidae. The record is from RefSeq and is a predicted model, not a curated record.
CUGCGAUUUUAGUUUCUUCCUACACCGUAACCACCAUAUGUGACUUCUUGCUGCUUCCAACAGAACAUCAACACUUCUAAUUCUCUAUUUUUGAUUCAUUGUGUUUAACAAGCAUUCAUUGGACGCUGACAGUGCAGGAGGUUUUUGGAAAGACUUUGAAGGAGAAGGGAAUAUAAAUAGCAAUAGAACAUAUUAAGUACCUACCCCAAAAGAGGAAAUGGAGUUGUAAACAACUAUACAAUGGAGUCAACUGGAGAGAGACAAAGAGUCCUAAAAUUAGGACUAAGGACAAAAGGCAACAAGAUUCCAAGCAUCUAGGUUUCAAACUGGCUAAAAUCAGGAAAACUUGAGGAGGAGAAGUCAAAGUCAUCCAUGUUGGGAUAGCAAGAAGAUACAGUUGAGGAAGAGAAGUCAAAGCCAUCCACGCUGGGAUAGCAAGAAGAUACAGUUGAUGCUGAGUACAGAAGGGAGUGGAGGAGAGAAGACAAAUAGGAGACCAUCCCCUGGGAGCAGACUGAGCAGUCCCAGAUGGAGCAUCAGCUAUGAACUCAGAGAAGCCUCUGAGCAGGGUUUUCACAAGUCUUUGCAGUAGGCACUAUCGUUCUCCCCAUUGCACAGAUGAGAAGACUGAGGCACGGAGACAUCACUCAAAAAAGAAAGUGAGAGAGAGAGAGAGAAAACCAAGAGAGAGAUGGCAAAUUUAGAGGAAAUGUAGUGUCAGAAAACUGGAAAUCGGUGAAACGAUCUAGUGCUGAUGAAAAUCCUCCAUCCUAAAAAAAGUAAAAAAAAAAAAAAAAAAAAAAAGAAAGAAGGAAAAUCCUCCAUCCUUACUCCAAGGGAAUUGUCACCCUAGUUUAACUAUAGGCAGCAACACAUAGUAAGACAUGCAUUUUGAAUCUUCACUCAGUUACAGGCCUAAAUAGUUGAACCUGGCACCAAAUAGUAAAUGUAUCAGUGUUGUUCAACCUAUUUUUUUUAAUAGCUAAGACAGAGACUAAACAUGCUCAAGGAUUUAGCUCUAAAGAUCAGAGGUGACAAGGCGAGUAGCUGCCCAAGCAUCCCAUCUGCUAGGCAACUCCGGCUCUGCACAUUCUGGAAUUCCUCUCCAACAUUAUAAAGUCAUCGAAUGCCUAUCUGGGCACUACAUUGUCUGGAGGCCAAGUCUUGUAAAGACUGUUAACUUGCACUGGAAUCUUCCUAGACGUGCCAGUCAAAGCCCGUUCUGCUGCAUCCUCUACUGGGACCUAUCCUUUAUCCCACCGGCUCCGAGAGUAGGGUUUUUACUGGCCCAGUGAUCUAACUGCCUUUUCCUGACUGCACCAGUUCUUUGACCGUGGGUGCUUUAUUCUCAGUUUGCUCUGCCCAGGAGUACCUCCUCUUCCUUGGGGUCCCCUCUGCUCCCCAGACAUACAUCUGUCAUAGCCCCGAGGCCCACUGUGGCAUUUAUUACCUGUCUGUCUCACGUUACUAAGGACUUUGGAGGCCGCAGCCAUGCCUUCCUUACCUUUAUAUUCCCAGCAUCUGACACAGUUGAGGGCCUAUUAUAUAUUGGAUGAAUAAAUAAUUGAAGGCCAACCCCAAGGGAGGCGGAUCACCUCAUCCAUGCCUCAGCUAAAGCACGGUGGCUUUCUGCAGCCAUAACCUCAGGUGUACAGAAGCCAGACAAGGGAAAGAGUCCAGGAAGGGUGUGGGCCACACCGUGGAAAAGCACGAGACCUACCGGGAGCCAUGGGCCCAGCAUCCUUGGAAGUGGUCUGACUUAUUUCUGCAAAAGUCAAUGCUGAGAGGUUGUGAUCUGUUUCUAAGGUGCGACUUCUGCUCUCCUGAGAAAUUGAAAGGAACCUGAGCGGUGUCUUAGGAUGUUUCAAGGCCACACUACUUCUCAGGGCUAAGCACUUCCUUUUUUGAACGCCCAUGUGAACACUAGCAGUCGGAAGGCCGGGAGGGCAGAGCCUUGCAGCCAUGAGCGUGGCGUGGAAGCUCAGGUCAUCCAAGUAGAGAUGCCACACAGGGGGCCUGUGGCCACAGGGCUCUGCUGUGGUGACACAGUGGCCAGAGGACCCAAGGGCUCUGGCUGCAAGUGAAGAGAAGUCCAGAGACUGUUGGAAACAUGCUCAUUUUCUGUGUUCCCCCUAAAACCAGACUUGCUGCUGGUAUAUGAACUAUUUCCAGCCCGAUUUACACAAUUGCUGGACUCAGGAGUCCCAGAGUCCUGUUGCUUCUUACCUCGAAGUGCCCCUGCGUGGCAUUUUGCCCUGUUUUCCUUUCUGCCAUUUGUGAGGUCACCAUGAACUUCCUGUCCACGUUUCCUCACACCCCAAGUGUGCAGGGGGGGCUCCUCCACCUGUGUUGAGACCACCUACCAUUUCUCCUGAUUCACCUGGCUGUGCUACUUCUUCAUUUCUUGUACCUUAUGUUCUGAUCAUGUUUAUUUUCUUCCACUUUAUUGUUCACAUCAUUGGUUUCCUACCUGGAAGUGACCCGAAGAAGCCCCCUCUGCAGAAGAGAUGCGUUGUGUUUUCAGACCUUGAGAGGACUGCCGUGGCCCCGUGGGGGGCCUUUUGUGAACCGGAGAAAGACAUUCCUUCUGGGCAGAUGCAGCCCUGCACCAGGGUACAGGCUUAGUGAGCAGGGGGCAGAGUGAUCUCAGGACCCACUCCAGUGUGCACUCUGGUGCCAUGAACAACCUGCCCAACCGGAAGGCACAGUCCUGCUCAGAAGAGUCCGUAAUCUUGCUUAAAUAAAUGGUGACAGUGACCGUUUUUUCUCAUAAUGAAAAUAUUCUUCAAAGGCCAUUCGGCGGAUGAGUGGCCUUGAACACACAUUUAUUUCUUCAAGCUUUCAGAACGUACAGGUCCUUAAACAUUAACUCAAGGCUGCACGGUGGCUUUCUGCAGCCCUAACAUCAAGUGCAAGCACCAUGGACUUAGUUGCUAAGCCGUCUCUUCUCGGUGCUAUAUUGCCAUCACGCAUAUUGUCUUCAUCUCAGCAGACAAUUGAUGGGCGGAGAUGAUGAGCCAGACAUUUUAAUCCGUGUUCUCUUGUGUCUCUCCAGCUUGGCAUUUUCGCUUCAACUAGCCUUAUGACGAAGUGAGCGUCCUUGAAAUUUCCAACCAGAAAGCUCCUGAGGUGUUUGGCAAGCCCUUGGCAUAGCUUUGCCGCUGCUCCAGGCCUGGGAGCCACAGAAGAGAGCCCUUGGGUUGGCUCCUCCAGCCCCACCUGGCACUUGUCGUGGCCACUGGGCACCCUGCUCCCCGCCCACAUGCCCGCUUCAUGACCAUGUGCUCGGAAACCCGCUUGAAGUGCACAGACUAGUUCAGUACCAUUUGAGAGACUCUCCAGCUGACUCAGAACCAUCCAGAGGCUACUUGGACCACCUAGCCCUGGCCAAAGAGAUGGCUGUUCCUUCUCCAUACCUCCUCAUUACCUCCCGACCAACAGAACAUCAUCAAUUUAUGUUGUCUCCUCUGUGUGACUCUCUCCAAUCUAUCCCCAAAUCACCGUGGAAUAUCCACACGUUGUUCUAGAACUACUGUUUUCUCAUUGCAUAUAGAUUUGCUCUACUUAAACGAACUGGUAACUAUCUCGAAGACGUAGGCUAUACUUUUUCUUCUUUGCCUCUUUCCGUGGUUCCGCAAAUAGCUUCUAAACCACCACGGACAGUAAAUGGAUGCUGAUUUUAAGAAAACCUAUUCUUUUUGCUUUCAUUUCCCUUUGUAAUGAAAGUCGAUUAAAUAGACUGCAGAGAACAGGGUGUUUAGAGGCUGAAAUAAGAGAAGUAUGUAGCCUGGAAAAAACCUGAAGAUGUCCAGUAAGCAAAAGUGAAUCUAUAAAUACCGCAGAAUGAUGACCUGUUCAAGGGGGUAAUUCUUCUAGCUAUGAACUCACCGAAAUGUUAAAUGAUCUCAUUCAAAACUUCCCUUUGGGACAAGUUGCUGGAGUCCCCACCUUACCCAAAAGGCUCCAACACUCUCUUUAGAAUCUCCAGUAGAAGAAUUUGAAUUGGAUGAGGCCACAGGUCUACGUUCAUGUUGGGGCAUAAAAUUGGUAGCCUGUAUCCUAGUCUAGGCCCUGCUAUGAACUAGCUGUGACCUUGAUAUGUCAUUGAGGCCAUCAGAGCUCACAGACUCCCAGAGUCUCUACAGUAAUAAUGUUAAUAAAAAUAGCUAACCCCGAUGGAGUACUUGCAGCGUACCAGGUCCUGUGCUGAGCAUUUUUCAUGCAUUAUUUCACUUAGUCCUCACAACCGCUCCUGGAGAUAGGUACUAUCAUUAUCCCCAAUUGAGGAAACCGAAGCUCACAGAGAUUAAUUUGUUCAGAAUCAUGGGGAAAUGCAUUUUGGUGAAACCAUAUUCAGUCAACCCGAGCUCAAAUGCCCUUUUUCCUCACAUGUGCAGCAGAGUGCAUGAUUCUGCACUCCUCGAACACUUCACGUGCACUGAUAUUUCAGUGCUUCUUCCCUUUGGUGUGUGUGGAUUGUACCCCCAGCACCCUGAGAGUGCUUUGAACGCCUGGCUUGGCAAUUAGAGACAAUAAAUGCGCCAAUUUAGCGGUAUAAACUCUUUAGUCCUCACAACAUAUCUGUACGUGGAACUAUUCUUGCUUUUACAGAUAAAGGCUCUGAGAGGCUAAGUAAUGGCUCAACUUGGCAUAGAAAAUAAAAAAGCAGAGUCAGGUGUUGUAUCCAGGGGUUAGAAGGUCCCUAUUCUGUACUGGCAUCACCAUCCAUUCAGUUGUCCAAGCCAAUCCAGAUACCCCUGUUAAAUGAGCCAAACUAGGAGGCCAUUCGAUUGAAACAGCUCUGAUGCCAUGGCAGCCUAGGUAAGCAAACCAUAACCUAAGCCCAGAUUACAAAAUUGAAAUUAAGGAUAGUUGAUCACAAUGGGCCAGCUGGGCUUUAAGCCAGAGCCCAUCAGUGACAUGUUCCCUUGGCUUCUACCUUUUUACUAUAAGUUAAAUCUCUAUGGGAACUCCUGUUGGCAGAGUCCCCUUAACCACUUCUGAUUUGACACCACCCCAUGAGAACUGAGUUUUGCUCAAAUAAACUCUUAACAUUUUGGAUGCUUCAGUUUAUCUUUUAACACCAGGGAAAUGUCCUCUGCAAUUCUUCCUCGGCUGUGAUUCUUGGGCUCUUCUCUACUCCAUUCACCGUGUGGUUCAUCAUUUUGUCCCCCCCCCCCACUGUAAUUCAGAUUCCUGCCUCCACUUACCCAGAUUACCAUGACAGCUUGGAGGAGAAGACUGGCUGACCUCCAAAACAAAAAGAUAUAAAGAAUUGGGAAUGACUUUGAUAAACUCUAAGCAUUUCUUAUUGUCUCUCUUAGAGACAAAGACACUUCCACACCCUCGGUCCUGAAUCGCUUAAAUCAUGAUUUACUGGGAAGUUAGAGUUGUAUUUUCACCCACUGACAUAAAUUUUGGUAUGAGGAUCAGCACACUGCUCUAGUCCUAUAAAUCAUAGGAGGCAGCCGGAUAGUCUCCAGGAUUCUAAUCUCGUUUGCCCAUCGCAUUUCACCAGUUUAUGUCAUUGCCAUUUAGGACCUAAUUGUGAUAACUGCACUUGUUUUCUGGAGUUGUGGUUGCUUUUAACCCAUUUCAUUGCUUGAGUUCCUACAAGGCUGGAGCCUUGUAUUGCUCCACAGGUGGAAUUCCUGGUGUCCUGCCUGCCUACCAUUGAAUAAAUGCCACAAGGAGGUGCUUUGCCUGUGCUUUGCCACCCAGAAGGGGGACACUUGGUCACGCUGCCCUGAGACGUCCCUGCAGUGCUGACAGCUUGCCCUUUGCUGCCAUCAUCCCUCAGGACAACCAUGACCAGGCACAGUGGCAAGUGGCCAAGGGGAGCUCCCGACUGCCUUUUGCUGCACAGGUGACAGUGUGGCAUGCCCCCCCCCCUUUUUCCUUCCUCCUCUGGACCAAGUGAUAAAAGGACAGGACAGUAAGGAAAUCUUCCUUGCAUAAGCA